UUGGUGCCCCCAAAGCAAGAGGAAUAAAACAACCUGCUUUAAUUCAAUAAACAAAUAUCUAGACCCCUAAAAGAAUUUUGAAAGGAUUUUACCAAAAGUCCAAGACUAGUAACUUUAUUACAGGCAUAAAAGGGGAUCUCCGGAUGUCCUAAGUUGGUUAAAAAGAUAAUGAAAUGUCUUCACAAAUGUACUGACAAUAACAAACCCAUUAAGGACACAAUUGAAGAAGGAAUAUGUGCAAGAAAAUAGAGGCCAGGGGAAGACACAAAUCAACUAUUACAGGUAGUUUUUUGUUUGUUUUUAAAUCUAGGAGCUUGAAAAGGAGUACUGUAUUUGUUACUGUGACUC
Molecule: long non-coding RNA, 348 nt
Filed under: Bos taurus (domestic cattle)
Lineage: Eukaryota; Metazoa; Chordata; Mammalia; Artiodactyla; Bovidae
Description: long non-coding RNA NONBTAT013936
Source: RNAcentral